CAGUCGCCGCGGUAAUACGUAGGUGGCGAGCGUUGUCCGGAUUUAUUGGGCGUAAAGGGAGUGUAGGCGGUCUUUUAAGUCUGAUGUGAAAGCCCACGGCUCAACCGUGGAGGGUCAUUGGAAACUGGGAGACUUGAGUGCAGAAGAGGAGAGCGGAAUUCCAUGUGUAGCGGUGAAAUGCGUAGAUAUAUGGAGGAACACCAGUGGCGAAGGCGGCUCUCUGGUCCGUAACUGACGCUGAGGAGCGAAAGCGUGGGGAGCGAACAGGAUUAGAUACCCCGGUAGUCCCUGUCUCUUAUAA
RNAcentral lists this ribosomal RNA (301 nucleotides) under uncultured bacterium. RNAcentral describes it as "partial 16S ribosomal RNA". It matches the Rfam family "Bacterial small subunit ribosomal RNA", at positions 509 to 809 of the family's 1533-position model. The record is from RNAcentral.